RNAcentral lists this ribosomal RNA (336 nucleotides) under uncultured bacterium. RNAcentral describes it as "bacterial SSU rRNA". It matches the Rfam family "Bacterial small subunit ribosomal RNA", at positions 72 to 422 of the family's 1533-position model. The record is from RNAcentral.
AAGGGGAGCAAUCCCUGAGUAAAGUGGCGACCGGUUGAGUAACAUGUGAUUAACCUACCCUUGAGUGUGGAAUAACAUCGGGAAACUGAUGUUAAUACUGCAUAACAUCGCAAGAUCAAAGGAGCAAUCCGCUUGAGGAGGGGGUCGCGGCUGAUUAGCUAGUUGGCGGGGUAACGGCCCACCAAGGCGAAGAUCGGUAGCCGGCCUGAGAGGGCGCACGGCCACACUGGAACUGAAACACGGUCCAGACUCCUACGGGAGGCAGCAGUGGGGAAUUUUGCGCAAUGGGGGAAACCCUGACGCAGCAACGCCGCGUGGAGGAUGAAGCCCCUUGGG